Molecule: ribosomal RNA, 380 nt
Filed under: uncultured eukaryote
Lineage: Eukaryota
Description: partial 18S ribosomal RNA
Rfam family: Eukaryotic small subunit ribosomal RNA
Source: RNAcentral
CAAUAGCGUAUAUUAAAGUUGUUGCGGUUAAAAAGCUCGUAGUUGGAGUUCUGCCAGGUGCCGCCUGUCCGCCCCAGUGGUGAGUACGUGGCGCGCAUUUGGCCCUUUCAAGGGGAGCGUAUCUGCACUUUAUUGUGUGGUGCGGGAUCCUUGACUUUUACUUUGAGGAAAUAGGAGUGUUCCAAGCAGGCUCUCGUCGUGCACAGCUCAGCAUGGAAUAAUAGCAUUGGACCUCGAUUCUAAGCUGUUGGUUGCCAGAAGCGAGGUAAUGAUGAAGAGGGAUAGUUGGGGGCAUUCGUAUUUAACUGUCAGAGGUUAAAUUCUUGGAUUUGUUAAAGACGGACUACUGCGAAAGCAUCUGCCAUGGAUGUUUUCAUUGA